This 73-nucleotide transfer RNA is filed under the name Actinobacteria bacterium OV320. It matches the Rfam family "tRNA". Rfam says of the family: Transfer RNA (tRNA) molecules are approximately 80 nucleotides in length. Their secondary structure includes four short double-helical elements and three loops (D, anti-codon, and T loops). Further hydrogen bonds mediate the characteristic L-shaped molecular structure. tRNAs have two regions of fundamental functional importance: the anti-codon, which is responsible for specific mRNA codon recognition, and the 3' end, to which the tRNAs corresponding amino acid is attached (by aminoacyl-tRNA synthetases). tRNAs cope with the degeneracy of the genetic code in two manners: having more than one tRNA (with a specific anti-codon) for a particular amino acid; and 'wobble' base-pairing, i.e. permitting non-standard base-pairing at the 3rd anti-codon position. The record is from Rfam by way of RNAcentral. Lineage: Bacteria; Bacillati; Actinomycetota; Actinomycetes.
UGACUUGUAGCUCAAUUGGCAGAGCAACGGAUUGUUAAUCCGUGGGUUCCUGGUUCGAGUCCAGGCAGGUCAG